This 700-nucleotide ribosomal RNA is filed under the name uncultured bacterium. Its description in RNAcentral is "bacterial SSU rRNA". It matches the Rfam family "Bacterial small subunit ribosomal RNA", at positions 626 to 1322 of the family's 1533-position model. The record is from RNAcentral.
UCCAAAACUGAGUACCUAGAAUAUGGGAGAGGUAGAUGGAAUUUCUGGUGUAGGGGUAAAAUCCGUAGAGAUCAGAAGGAAUACCGAUUGCGAAGGCGAUCUACUGGAACAUUAUUGACGCUGAGACGCGAAAGCGUGGGGAGCAAACAGGAUUAGAUACCCUGGUAGUCCACGCCCUAAACGAUGUACAUUAGUUGUUGCUAUGCUAGACAUAGCAGUAAUGCAGUUAACACAUUAAAUGUACCGCCUGGGGAGUACGGUCGCAAGAUUAAAACUCAAAGGAAUAGACGGGGACCCGCACAAGCGGUGGAGCAUGUGGUUUAAUUCGACGAUACGCGAAGAACCUUACCUGGCCUUGACAUAGAAAGAAUUUAGCAGAGAUGUAAAAGUGCUAGUUUACUAGAGCUUUCAUACAGGUGCUGCACGGCUGUCGUCAGCUCGUGUCGUGAGAUGUUAGGUUAAGUCCUGCAACGAGCGCAACCCUCGUGUUUAGUUACUAACAGAUUAUGCUGAGGACUCUAGACAUACUGCCUGGGCAACCAGGAGGAAGGUGAGGACGACGUCAAGUCAUCAUGGCCCUUACGGCCAGGGCUACACACGUGCUACAAUGGGGUAUACAAAGAGCAGCGAUACCGCGAGGUGGAGCAAAUCUCAUAAAAUAUCUCCCAGUUCGGAUUACACUCUGCAACUCGAGUGUAUG